RNAcentral lists this ribosomal RNA (309 nucleotides) under uncultured eukaryote. RNAcentral describes it as "partial large subunit ribosomal RNA". It matches the Rfam family "Eukaryotic large subunit ribosomal RNA", at positions 40 to 350 of the family's 3401-position model. The record is from RNAcentral.
AUAUCAAUAAGCGGAGGAAAAGAAACUAACUAGGAUUCCCUUAGUAACGGCGAGUGAACUGGGAAGAGCCCAACUUGAAAAUCUCCAGGCUUUGCCUGGCGAAUUGUAGUCUAUAGAAGCGCCCUCUGCGGCGGGCCGUGCCCAAGUCCCCUGGGAGGGGGCGUCAGAGAGGGUGAGAACCCGUCGGCACGCACCUGUCCGCUCCACGAGGCGCUUCGCAGAGUCGGGUUGUUUGGGAAUGCAGCCCUAAGCAGGUGGUAAAUCCCAUCUGAGGCUAAAUACUGACGGGAGACCGAUAGCGCACAAGUA